UACAGAGGGUGCGAGCGUUAAUCGGAAUUACUGGGCGUAAAGCGUGCGCAGACGGUCACGUAAGUCGGGUGUGAAAGCCCCGGGCUCAACCUGGGAAUUGCAUUCGAGACUGCGUGGCUAGGGUGCGGAAGAGGGAAGCGGAAUUUCCGGUGUAGCGGUGAAAUGCGUAGAUAAUCGGAAGGAACACCAGUGGCGAAAGCGGCUUCCUGGUCCAGCACCGACGUCAGGCACGAA
Molecule: ribosomal RNA, 234 nt
Filed under: uncultured bacterium
Lineage: Bacteria
Description: partial 16S ribosomal RNA
Rfam family: Bacterial small subunit ribosomal RNA
Source: RNAcentral